RNAcentral lists this transfer RNA (68 nucleotides) under Eupsophus vertebralis (Valdivia ground frog). RNAcentral describes it as "tRNA-His". It matches the Rfam family "tRNA". From Rfam's summary of the family: Transfer RNA (tRNA) molecules are approximately 80 nucleotides in length. The record is from RNAcentral. Lineage: Eukaryota; Metazoa; Chordata; Amphibia; Anura; Alsodidae.
GUGGGUAUAGUUUAUUAAAAUCCUAGACUGUGACUCUAGGGAUGAGGACUAAUUAUCCUCUAUCCACC